This 477-nucleotide ribosomal RNA is filed under the name uncultured bacterium. RNAcentral's name for it is "partial 16S ribosomal RNA". It matches the Rfam family "Bacterial small subunit ribosomal RNA", at positions 28 to 507 of the family's 1533-position model. The record is from RNAcentral.
GAUGAACGCUGGCGGCGUGCCUAACACAUGCAAGUCGAACGAAGCACCUUUCCUGAUUCUUCGGAUGAAAGUUUGGUGACUGAGUGGCGGACGGGUGCGUAACGCGUUGGUAAUCUGCCCUGUACAGGGGGAUAACAGCUAGAAACGGCUGCUAAUACCGCAUAAGCGCACGGGGAGAGAUCUUCUUGUGUGAAGAGGUCGGGUGGGACAGGAUGGGGCCGCGUCGGAUUAGAUGGUUGGCAGGGGAACGGCCUAGCAAGGCAACGUUCAGUAGCCGGUAUGAGAGGAUGAACCGCCACAUUGGAGGUGAGACACGGUCGAAAAUCCUACGGGAGGGAGGAGAGGGGAAUAUUGCACGAUGGGGGAAGCCAUGAUGAAGCAACGCCGGGUGAGUGAAGAAGUAGUUAGGUAAGUGAAGCUGGAUCAGCAGGGGAGAUAAUGACGGUACCUGACUAAGAAGCACCGGCUAACUACGUG